UACGUAGGGUGCAAGCGUUGUCCGGAAUUAUUGGGCGUAAAUGGCUCGUAGGCGGUCCGUCACGUCGGGAGUGAAAACUUGGGGCUUAACCCCAAGCCUGCUUCCGAUACGGGCGGACUAGAGGUAGGCAGGGGAGAACGGAAUUCCUGGUGUAGCGGUGAAAUGCGCAGAUAUCAGGAGGAACACCGGUGGCGAAGGCGGUUCUCUGGGCCUUACCUGACGCUCAUGCACGAAAGCGUGGGGAGCAAACAGG
This 253-nucleotide ribosomal RNA is filed under the name uncultured bacterium. RNAcentral describes it as "partial 16S ribosomal RNA". It matches the Rfam family "Bacterial small subunit ribosomal RNA", at positions 524 to 776 of the family's 1533-position model. The record is from RNAcentral.